UACAGAGGGUGCGAGCGUUGUCCGGAAUCACUGGGCGUAAAGGGCGCGUAGGCGGCUUUUCAAGUCGGGGGUGAAAGCCUGUGGCUCAACCACAGAAUUGCCUUCGAUACUGUUAGGCUUGAGACCGGAAGAGGUGAGUGGAACUGCGAGUGUAGAGGUGAAAUUCGUAGAUAUUCGCAAGAACACCAGUGGCGAAGGCGGCUCACUGGUCCGGUUCUGACGCUGAGGCGCGAAAGCGUGGGGAGCAAACAGG
RNAcentral lists this ribosomal RNA (253 nucleotides) under uncultured bacterium. RNAcentral describes it as "partial 16S ribosomal RNA". It matches the Rfam family "Bacterial small subunit ribosomal RNA", at positions 524 to 776 of the family's 1533-position model. The record is from RNAcentral.